GACGAACGCUGGCGGCGUGCUUAACACAUGCAAGUCGAACGGAAAGGCCCUGCUUUGGUUGUGUGCUCGAGUGGCGAACGGGUGAGUAACACGUAAGUAACCUGCCCUUGACUUGGGGAUAACUUCAGGAAACGGUGGCUAAUACCGGAUAGGAGCUCCUGCUGCAUGGCGUGGGUUGGAAAGUUGCGGCGGCUGGGCAAGGACUUGCGGCUGAUCAGCUUGUGGGAGGGGUAGUGGUUAACGCAGGCCUUGACGGGUAGCCGGCCUGAGAGGGUGACCGGCCACAGUGGGACUGAGAUACGGCCCAGACUCCUACGGGAGGCAGCAGUGGGGAAUAUUGCACGAUGGGCGGAAGCCUGAUGCAGCAACGCCGCGUGCGGGAGGACGGCCGUCGGGUUGGAAACCGCGUGCGCCUGGGACGAAGCGUGAGUGACGGUAAUGGGUAAAGAAGCACCGGCUAACUACGUG
Molecule: ribosomal RNA, 468 nt
Filed under: uncultured bacterium
Lineage: Bacteria
Description: partial 16S ribosomal RNA
Rfam family: Bacterial small subunit ribosomal RNA
Source: RNAcentral